This 432-nucleotide ribosomal RNA is filed under the name uncultured Sulfuricurvum sp. RNAcentral's name for it is "bacterial SSU rRNA". It matches the Rfam family "Bacterial small subunit ribosomal RNA", at positions 950 to 1382 of the family's 1533-position model. Lineage: Bacteria; Pseudomonadati; Campylobacterota; Epsilonproteobacteria; Campylobacterales; Sulfurimonadaceae. The record is from RNAcentral.
UUCGAUGCAACACGAAGAACCUUACUGGGUUUGACAUGUUGGUAGUAGUGAAGUGAAAGCGGAACGAUCCUUCGGGAAGCCAUCACAGGUGCUGCAUGGCUGUCGUCAGCUCGUGCCGUGAGGUGUUGGGUUAAGUCCCGCAACGAGCGCAACCCUCGUCCUUAGUUGCUAACAGUUCGGCUGAGCACUCUAGGGAGACUGCCUUCGCAAGGAGGAGGAAGGUGAGGACGACGUCAAGUCAUCAUGGCCCCUACGGCCAGGGCUACACACGUGCUACAAUGGGGCGUACAGAGAGCUGCGAUACCGCGAGGUGGAGCCAAUCUCUUAAAGCGUCUCUCAGUUCGGAUUGUUCUCUGCAACUCGAGAACAUGAAGCUGGAAUCACUAGUAACCGCAGAUCAGCUAUGCUGCGGUGAAUACGUUCCCGGGUCUU